Long non-coding RNA from Gallus gallus (chicken), 398 nucleotides. The record is from Ensembl. Lineage: Eukaryota; Metazoa; Chordata; Aves; Galliformes; Phasianidae.
CAAACAACCACUACACGGUGCACAUAAAAUGAAGACAAAUUUCUUUUCACUUUCUUUGCUAUUUUUCAUUGAUAGUGUCUUUAGGAAAAGACAGUGAGAGAAAGUGAGAAGACAGUUCUCCUGACAGAUAAGAGUUAAGGGAGAGCUCAUUACCACGCUGCAGAAACCCUGAUCUGCUGUCCUCACACCAAGAUCAUAUGGAUGCUGAACCAAGAGGAUGACAUGUCCCAUCUUGCAGCUCGAUGUGUCCACUACCAGGACUUGAAGGAAAAAAAGACAUCUCCCCCAGUGUAUUUGCUAAAGUACGGGGAGGGCUUGCAUUCCUCAGCCUCUCCUGCUGUCACUGGUGUGAGGAAGCCAACGGCUGAGGGAGAUGGACUCAUGAUGGCUGCUGAAAC